Molecule: ribosomal RNA, 333 nt
Filed under: Brachistosternus sp. 7 LP-2016
Lineage: Eukaryota; Metazoa; Arthropoda; Arachnida; Scorpiones; Bothriuridae
Description: partial 12S ribosomal RNA
Source: RNAcentral
UAAAAAUUUACUUAUUUUAGGUAGUAACAGAUUUCUUGAAACCUAAAGAAUUUGGCGGUAUUUUAAAUAAUUAGAGGAACCUGUUAAAUAAAUGACAAUCCACAACAUAUCUUACCUUAAUUAAGUUUGUAUACCGUUGUUUUCAGAUUAUGUUUAAAAAUUAUAAUCAAAAUUAAUUAGUUUUCGUAAAUCAAAUCAAGGUGCAGCAUAUUUAGGUCUUAAUGGGUUACAAUAUAUUUAUAUAUACGAAUUAAUCAUGAAAGUAGUUUUGAAGGUGGAUUUAAAAGUAAUUUAAAAUUAAAAUGUUUAGAUGAAUAAAAAUUUAAAAUAUGC